RNAcentral lists this ribosomal RNA (253 nucleotides) under uncultured bacterium. Its description in RNAcentral is "partial 16S ribosomal RNA". It matches the Rfam family "Bacterial small subunit ribosomal RNA", at positions 524 to 776 of the family's 1533-position model. The record is from RNAcentral.
UACGUAGGGUCCGAGCGUUGUCCGGAAUUAUUGGGCGUAAAGGGCUCGUAGGCGGUUUGUCACGUCGGGAGUGAAAGCUCAGGGCUCAACCCUGAGCGUGCUUCCGAUACGGGCAGACUAGAGGUAUGCAGGGGAGAACGGAAUUCCUGGUGUAGCGGUGGAAUGCGCAGAUAUCAGGAGGAACACCGGUGGCGAAGGCGGUUCUCUGGGCAUUACCUGACGCUGAGGAGCGAAAGCAUGGGGAGCGAACAGG